CAAACCCUUGUUAGAACACGCACGCAUCUCUCUAACGCUCUCUCAAACACACACCACCACCACCACCACACACUCUCUAUCACCAUGUCCGUUGAGGAGGCCCAGAACGCGGCGGCGAUGGCCGACGAGGAGAUCCCGACGCUCGAGGCGGCUGAGGUGCCACAGAACGCGAAGCAGUCGAAGCGCUACGCCAAGGCCAUGGCCAAGAUGGGCCUCAAGCCGGAGUCCAACAUCACGAAGGUCACCAUUCGCAAGGUUGGCUCCCUGUCCUUCGCCAUGGUGCAGCCAGAGGUGUACCGCUUCCCUGGCACCAACACCUUCGUCAUCUUCGGCGAGGCGCAGCUGGAGGACACGAGUGCGCUAGCGCAGGAGGCUGCUGCCCGCGCUGCCGUGUCUGGUGCCGCGUCGGCUUCCUCUGACGCCGCUGCAUCUGUGCCGGCGGCGGAGGAAGAUGACGACGAGGAGGUGGACGCCGGCGACCUGGACGAGAAGGAGAUCAACGUGGUGAUGAGCCAGGCGAACGUGUCUCGCAACAAGGCCAUCAAGGCGCUCAAGAACAACAACGGCGACAUCGUCAACACCAUCAUGGAGCUAACCAUGUAGAGCCGAUGGGAAAGCAAGAGGUGGGAGGCGGCCGUGCGCUGCCGAUGACCUCUCCUGUGCACACGCGCGCAUCGACACAUGCUUACGCAGACGCGUCAGUGCAUCCGUCGGCGAUAUCCUACAUGUCCAACGUCUGCACGGCACGCGAAGAAAAGGUGAAGGUCGCCUUUUGCGUCGUUGGGCAUGCGUACCGAGGACAAGGCGGGCAAGGGGGGGGCGCGCACGUGCACAAGGCGAAAAUCGCGGCGAGAGGCACGUACCGGUGCUGCUCAUCUCUUCGCUCUUUUCAGUUGCGUGCGCGUGUUCGUCGGGUCCUGUGGGACAUGCGCGCCGUUUCCUCCUCGUCGUCUCCGUCUCCCUUCUCGUAUCUGUGUUUGCCUUGCGCGUGUCUUCCUGUUCGGUUUAGAAAAGUUAAAGUGCCAGCCUCCGCUGUCGCCGCCUCUCUCCAUUUCUGUUUUCCCCCUCACGAUCCCGCUCCUCGUGAAGGGCCGAGAGCGCACCGGAGUGCGUGCGCGCGGCAGAGGUGGAGGAGAGGAGCGAACAAGUACGUCCGUGUCUGUCUGCUGGUCUGCCCUUCUCACCUCCUUCCUGUCUCUCUCUCCCCACGCAGCUGCCGCAGCUGGAAUGGCCCACGCCUUGCGCGCACCGCCAUCACAACUCCCUUAAGAAGUCUAACCUAAGCAUGAGGAGGAGGAGGACAGGCACCGCGCAGGUAGCCCAUGUACACACGUACAUAUAUAUACAUAAGCUGCCACCACGAAAUUCUCUCCUGAAAGAAAAAAACGAAAACCGUUUGAGCAGCAGCAGCUUGCGUAAACGCCUAUCUC
RNAcentral lists this unclassified non-coding RNA (1430 nucleotides) under Leishmania donovani. Its description in RNAcentral is "gene:LdHU3.04.0990(CDS-product:nascent_CDS_associ ated_complex_subunit-_like_protein_copy_2)". Lineage: Eukaryota; Euglenozoa; Kinetoplastea; Trypanosomatida; Trypanosomatidae. The record is from RNAcentral.